RNAcentral lists this ribosomal RNA (474 nucleotides) under Burkholderia stabilis. RNAcentral describes it as "bacterial SSU rRNA". It matches the Rfam family "Bacterial small subunit ribosomal RNA", at positions 8 to 474 of the family's 1533-position model. The record is from RNAcentral. Lineage: Bacteria; Pseudomonadati; Pseudomonadota; Betaproteobacteria; Burkholderiales; Burkholderiaceae.
AGAGUUUGAAUUCCUGCUCAGAUUGAACGCUGGCGGCAUGCCUUACACAUGCAAGUCGAACGGCAGCACGGGUGCUUGCACCUGGUGGCGAGUGGCGAACGGGUGAGUAAUACAUCGGAACAUGUCCUGUAGUGGGGGAUAGCCCGGCGAAAGCCGGAUUAAUACCGCAUACGAUCUACGGAUGAAAGCGGGGGACCUUCGGGCCUCGCGCUAUAGGGUUGGCCGAUGGCUGAUUAGCUAGUUGGUGGGGUAAAGGCCUACCAAGGCGACGAUCAGUAGCUGGUCUGAGAGGACGACCAGCCACACUGGGACUGAGACACGGCCCAGACUCCUACGGGAGGCAGCAGUGGGGAAUUUUGGACAAUGGGCGAAAGCCUGAUCCAGCAAUGCCGCGUGUGUGAAGAAGGCCUUCGGGUUGUAAAGCACUUUUGUCCGGAAAGAAAUCCUUGGUUCUAAUAUAGCCGGGGGAUGACG